GGGAACAUAGCUCCAAUUGGUAGAGCACUUGAUUGAAGAUCAAGGUGUUAUCGGUUCAAAUCCGAUUGUUCCCA
RNAcentral lists this transfer RNA (74 nucleotides) under Betaproteobacteria bacterium. RNAcentral's name for it is "tRNA-Phe". It matches the Rfam family "tRNA". Rfam says of the family: Transfer RNA (tRNA) molecules are approximately 80 nucleotides in length. Their secondary structure includes four short double-helical elements and three loops (D, anti-codon, and T loops). Lineage: Bacteria; Pseudomonadati; Pseudomonadota; Betaproteobacteria. The record is from RNAcentral.